ACAGUAGUAAACUAAGUGAAGUUAGUGGGGUUCAUGGCUCUGGGUAUGUGGUUUUAAUGAACUACCUACUGUU
RNAcentral lists this transfer RNA (73 nucleotides) under Halocynthia hilgendorfi ssp. n. KRK-2020. RNAcentral describes it as "tRNA-Met". Lineage: Eukaryota; Metazoa; Chordata; Ascidiacea; Stolidobranchia; Pyuridae. The record is from RNAcentral.